AGAGUUUGAUCCUGGCUCAGGAUGAACGCUAGCUACAGGCUUAACACAUGCAAGUCGAGGGGCAGCAUGGUCUUAGCUUGCUAAGGCCGAUGGCGACCGGCGCACGGGUGAGUAACACGUAUCCAACCUGCCGACAACACUGGGAUAGCCUUUCGAAAGAAAGAUUAAUACCGGAUGGCAUAGUUUUCCCGCAUGGGAUAAUUAUUAAAGAAUUUCGGUUGUCGAUGGGGAUGCGUUCCAUUAGGCAGUUGGCGGGGUAACGGCCCACCAAACCUACGAUGGAUAGGGGUUCUGAGAGGAAGGUCCCCCACAUUGGAACUGAGACACGGUCCAAACUCCUACGGGAGGCAGCAGUGAGGAAUAUUGGUCAAUGGACGAGAGUCUGAACCAGCCAAGUAGCGUGAAGGAUGACUGCCCUAUGGGUUGUAAACUUCUUUUAUACGGGAAUAAAGUGAGCCACGUGUGGCUUUUUGUAUGUACCGUAUGAAUAAGGAUCGGCUAACUCCGUGCCAGCAGCCGCGGUAAUACGGAGGAUCCGAGCGUUAUCCGGAUUUAUUGGGUUUAAAGGGAGCGUAGGCGGGUUGUUAAGUCAGUUGUGAAAGUUUGCGGCUCAACCGUAAAAUUGCAGUUGAUACUGGCGACCUUGAGUGCAACAGAGGUAGGCGGAAUUCGUGGUGUAGCGGUGAAAUGCUUAGAUAUCACGAAGAACUCCGAUUGCGAAGGCAGCUUACUGGAUUGUAACUGACGCUGAUGCUCGAAAGUGUGGGUAUCAAACAGGAUUAGAUACCCUGGUAGUCCACACAGUAAACGAUGAAUACUCGCUGUUGGCGAUAUACUGUCAGCGGCCAAGCGAAAGCAUUAAGUAUUCCACCUGGGGAGUACGCCGGCAACGGUGAAACUCAAAGGAAUUGACGGGGGCCCGCACAAGCGGAGGAACAUGUGGUUUAAUUCGAUGAUACGCGAGGAACCUUACCCGGGCUUAAAUUGCAACUGACGGAACCGGAAACGGUUCUUUCUUCGGACAGUUGUGAAGGUGCUGCAUGGUUGUCGUCAGCUCGUGCCGUGAGGUGUCGGCUUAAGUGCCAUAACGAGCGCAACCCUUAUCGAUAGUUACUAGCAGGUCAUGCUGAGGACUCUAUCGAGACUGCCGUCGUAAGAUGUGAGGAAGGUGGGGAUGACGUCAAAUCAGCACGGCCCUUACGUCCGGGGCUACACACGCGUUACAAUGGGGGGUACAGAAGGCAGCUACACGGCGACGUGGUGCUAAUCCCAAAAGCCUCUCUCAGUUCGGAUUGGAGUCUGCAACCCGACUCCAUGAAGCUGGAUUCGCUAGUAAUCGCGCAUCAGCCACGGCGCGGUGAAUACGUUCCCGGGCCUUGCACUCACCGCCCGUCA
RNAcentral lists this ribosomal RNA (1395 nucleotides) under uncultured bacterium. Its description in RNAcentral is "16S ribosomal RNA". It matches the Rfam family "Bacterial small subunit ribosomal RNA". The record is from RNAcentral.